UUGAGAUGUAGUGAAAUGCGGAUAAAUACACAAUAUGUAAAUGUAGAGGCUCGGAAUUCCUCAUCAAUAUAAAAAAUUUAGUUGCUCUAUCGUGAGGUUAACGAAAGUAUAAAUUCCACUCAACCUUGCAAUUUCAUGUACCACAAUAAUUUUUUUUUAUGCUUAUCGACAAACAAAUUAGUAUGUGUCAAAUAUAAUUACACUUGUUAAAUUGAGGCACAUGUCAUUUUAAGAACAGAGACUUUG
Molecule: long non-coding RNA, 246 nt
Filed under: Prunus persica (peach)
Lineage: Eukaryota; Viridiplantae; Streptophyta; Magnoliopsida; Rosales; Rosaceae
Description: long non-coding RNA (PPER_LNC003755)
Source: RNAcentral